AAUACUUGUCGCUUUUAGUUUUUGUUUGUAAAUUUUGAUCAUUCGUCUUAUUCAAAAAAUUAUGAAAUUAUUAUUUACUUUGAUUGUGACUUGCUUUAUCAAAAGCAAUUUAAGCAUAACUUAUCAUUUUUUACAUUUGCACUAAUUUUUUAAAUAAGACGAAUGGUCAAACGUUGCAAUAAAAAAGUCAAAGCAACCACUAAC
RNAcentral lists this microRNA precursor (204 nucleotides) under Oryza sativa Indica Group (long-grained rice). Its description in RNAcentral is "MIR812 microRNA precursor family". It matches the Rfam family "MIR812 microRNA precursor family". Lineage: Eukaryota; Viridiplantae; Streptophyta; Magnoliopsida; Poales; Poaceae. The record is from Rfam by way of RNAcentral.